AGAUUGAAUUGUAGAUGGUUGUGAGC
RNAcentral lists this non-coding RNA (26 nucleotides) under Cricetulus griseus (Chinese hamster). The record is from RNAcentral. Lineage: Eukaryota; Metazoa; Chordata; Mammalia; Rodentia; Cricetidae.